UACGGAGGUGGCAAGCGUUGCUCGGAAUCACUGGGCGUAAAGGGCGCGUAGGCGGGGAGGUAAGUCGGGUGUGAAAUCCCUCGGCCCAACCGAGGAACUGCGCCCGAGACUGCUUCUCUUGAGUCCCGGAGAGGAAGAUGGAAUUCCUGGUGUAGCGGUGAAAUGCGUAGAUAUCAGGAGGAACACCUGUGGUGUAGACGGCUUACUGGACUAUAACUGACGCUGAGGAACGAAAGCGUGGGUAGCAAACAGG
RNAcentral lists this ribosomal RNA (253 nucleotides) under uncultured bacterium. Its description in RNAcentral is "partial 16S ribosomal RNA". It matches the Rfam family "Bacterial small subunit ribosomal RNA", at positions 524 to 776 of the family's 1533-position model. The record is from RNAcentral.